Molecule: ribosomal RNA, 488 nt
Filed under: uncultured bacterium
Lineage: Bacteria
Description: bacterial SSU rRNA
Rfam family: Bacterial small subunit ribosomal RNA
Source: RNAcentral
AAUGAACGCUGGCGGCGCGCCUAAUACAUGCAAGUCGAGCGAGAAGACGUAGCAAUACGUUUGUAAAGCGGCGAACGGGUGAGGAAUACAUGGGUAACCUACCCUCGAGUGGGGAAUAACUAGCCGAAAGGUUAGCUAAUACCGCGUACGCUCCUUGGACUUCGGUUCAGGGAGGAAAGCGAUACCGUGGGUAUCGCGCUCUUGGUUGGGCUCAUGUCCUAUCAGCUUGUUGGUGAGGAACGGCUCACCAAGGCUUCGACGGGUAGCUGGCCUGAGAGGACGAUCAGCCACACUGGCACUGCGACACGGGCCAGACUCCUACGGGAGGCAGCAGUAAGGAAUAUUGCGCAAUGGGCGAAAGCCUGACGCAGCGACGCCGCGUGGGGGAGUGAAGGUCUUCGGAUUGUAAACCCCUUUCGGGAGGGAAGAUGGAACGAGCAAUCGUUCGGACGGUACCUCCAGAAGCAGCCACGGCUAACUUCGUGCCA